CUCGCCAGCAUUAGUCUGAUGGGAGUGUAGACCAGAAAGGAUCAGACGAUGGUGUGUUGUGUGGUGAUGCUGCAAGGUGGUUAAGUGUCGUGGUUAGUGCAUGAAGAACAUUUGAUGCCUGAGGAAUACCAAUGAGGAUUAAGUGAGUAUUUAGCCGUUUAAUAUCGAAGACAGAGUGUUCAAAAACAACGCUGAGGAGAAUAUCUGGACAUACAAACGUCUUCACACUCGACAACAAAAUGUAUAAGCCUUCUCUGAAAUAAAGUGGCCUUACAUUCAUGGAUUCCUGUACAAGGCGUCGGACAGCUGUUUCAGAUCUGUCCGCAGAAGCAUUGGACACUAUCAGGAUAAAGACGACAUUCAUUCAGCGAAAGUUUUGAAACCUAAAAAAAAAAAAAAACUUUUGUAGGCAAAUUAAAUUAUGCAAAUUAUUUUGAUUGAACAAAGAAUGCGAAAAUAAAGAAUCUCUGCUGCGAAGUGCCAGGUUCUGAUUUUCCUUUACUUAGAAAUUAGUGUCAAUAUCACAGAAACUUUGUAAUGGGUGUGGUGUGACAUUAUUCCAAGCAAUCCAACGGUGGAAUUACGAAUAAAUGGAUAGAAUCCUUUCGCGCAGAAAACAAACUUAACAUAACUGUGCUACAGAGUACGAAGUACACAAAUAGGCUACAAGUGUAAAGAAAAUGCUUUCUUGGGCAGAAAUAUUGGUGAAAAACUGAAGAUAAGCUAUUCAUGAAACAAACUGUUCACAGAACACAUUUGCUCAAACGAAACCAGGAAGAAAAAUUAUGUUUAUAGAUAAAACAGCUCUCCUUAUCGACCGUCAUCCUUUAAAGCUUAAGAGUUAAAUCUGUAUAGAAAU
Molecule: non-coding RNA, 859 nt
Organism: Zootermopsis nevadensis
Lineage: Eukaryota; Metazoa; Arthropoda; Insecta; Blattodea; Termopsidae
Source: RefSeq, a predicted model, not a curated record